UCUUUUCUCUAGAACAUCCCACAAGAUGCCUCUCUCUCUCUACAAUCACUCUGUACUCCAUCGGAGGCCUCUCUCUACUAGCAUUCUUCUAGUCUUCCCUCAAAGUCUGCAAGACGCCUCCCUUUCUCUCUCUAAUCACUCUUCCCUCAAGCUCAACAGAUCGUCCGGUUUGAUCAUACGCAUCAGAUCUGUUCUCUUCUAGGGUAAGCUUUGGCGGAUGAAACUUGUGAGAAAAUACAAUUAAAGUUGCUCUUAAGCUUCUUUCAUAUUUCAUUCUAGUAAUCAAAAAAUUUCGCUUUCCUUUAUUUAAGUUUUUUUUUUUUUUUGGCUUUAUUAUUAUUUCUUGUGCUUCGCUUCAUAUUAUUUUUAUAUUCUUUAGGAUUUUUGUUAUUUUGUUUAUUUUAGAAUAGGUUGAAUAAAAGAAAAAUGUUAUCAGGUCUGAUCAACAAGUUUAUGUUUGCUAUUAUUUCAGGAUUAAUUAAUUAAUUAGCUUAAUAUUAUUUUUAUAUUCUUUAGGAUUUUUGUUAUUUUGUUUAUUUUAGAGUAGGUUGAAUAAAAGAAAAAUGUUAUCAGGUCUGGUCAACAAGUUUAUGUUUGCUAUUAUUUCAGGAUUAAUUAAUUAAUUAAUAUUAAGCUAAUUAAGUAAUUAAUUAGCUUAAAAAGUUUAUGUUUGUUUCAUUUCUAGAAAGAGUACAUCUAUUCCAUUGUAGCUUCAGUUUUAGUUUAGUGUCUACAAAGAUGUUAUUUUUUUUAUUUUUUUUUUUCUCUCUGGGUGUUGAUUGGAAUACCAUCUUUAUCAAAAUUUGGAUUCUACGUAAGGGUAAUGAAAAUAUAUAUAUACAUAUAUAUCUCGUUAAAGUAAGGGGAAGAUAUUUGAAGUCCUCUAACGUUCCAAUUAUUAUUUUUAAAAUUAAAAAUGGUAUCAUUGUUUUUUAAAAAUAUUAGUGUCACAUCAUUGUUCUAGGACUAAAGAUUGGGAAGAUAAUAGCUUGAGAUUUUUUUUCAUCCAAUUCAUUUAUUUUUAUUUCAUCACAUUUUUUUUGUUGAUUGUGAAAGGUGAAUAUAUAUAAUUUAAGGGCUUAAAUAUAUUUUGAAUUUGAAAAGUUCAAAGAAGAAAUUCAGAGCCAUUUGGUACUGGUGCCCUUUGAAAAAUGAAUUAAAAAAUUAAGGGUUAAAAUAACCGAGUUAACAAAAGUAAAUCAGAGUAUUAUGUAGCUCUUAAAUAAAUACCAACAUAUUUUCACUUGUUAAUAGAAAAGUAAGAUGGUAUAAGACAAAGCAAUUUUUAAUCUAGCCUUCUAUGGGUUUCUUGUCAUUUUUCUCUAUGGAACGAAAAGCUUACAGAAGGAACAACAAUUUUCUUGUUAAUUUAUAGUUGAACAAAAUGUCAAACUAGAUACAUUACAUAUUACUGUCAAGUUUUCCAAACUCUCCUUUUUUAUGUGUGUGUGUGCACACAUCAUGGCAGCAUUUUGAUUCUGAUAAAUUUAUUUUGUUACAUGGUUUACUUGCUUGAUUAUUUUAAUAUAUUACUUUAUGAAUAUGAACACCCUCCAAUCAUAACAAAGAAGAGUACAACUGAAUCAGUUGAUAAAAAUAGCAAUGAAGCAACCAAGGUGCUCAAGCAAAUCUGGUUUGAUCUUAGUGACACCCAGUUGAAGUGAAUUAUACUAGAAUUUAAAUAUAUAUUCUCUAUAUUUUUGUUGCCUUCCUUGUGUUAUUAAACAUAUCACCUAUAAAACAAUUGAGUGAUGUUAUGUAGUAUUAUUUAAUGAAAUAUUUCCUGUUAUAUAUGUGCUUAGUUUGAUGAACUUUUGGCACAAUAAAAAAUAAUAUGGCAACUGGACUUGUGUAUUUAUUAAAUAAGUUUAAGUUUACUCAACUAUCUUUAUUGUUAAAUUUUACUUAUGUAAGCAAAACUCUUAGUACUUCUUUCCCAAAAAAGAAUUAUUUGUUUGUAGCUUCGUCUACUUGGCAAUUGCUUCAACAUUAUAUCUUGGAGCCUUAAUUUAUAUUUUUCUUUGUUGGUCCCUUCGAUUCUGUAUGAUUGAGCUUUGUUUGGAAUUCGGAAACUAGAAGUGUAGGAAAGAAAGGAAAGUAUUACAAAAAGAUACUCCCAGUCUAUACUGAAUUUUUGAAAUCUUGAAUGUCAUUAUUAAGUGUUCAUGUCCUUAAGCUAUGUUGCAUAUCCUUCGUAAUUUCAUUUCGUUUCUUUUUCCAGAUCUAUUAAUUAUUCACUACAAAGAAAGAACUGUGAUUGGACUUCACUCACAUCACAAACCAAUUAACUUAGUAAGAGAAGCAAGCAUGGUGACUAUUUGAAACAAAUUUACAGAACAUAUUUUUAAGCUUUGUAUGUGAUCUCAUCUGUACUUCUGUAAUGCUUAAACGUGUAUGUUGAAUGUGCCUCAUGGAGUGGUCGGAAACAAUAUGAAUGUGCCUAACUACAGAGAAUUUGAGAACAAAUUCAUUUUAUCCUUUUUUCUUUCAAUGGAACUAUUUCUUUCUCUA
Molecule: long non-coding RNA, 2511 nt
Organism: Cornus florida
Lineage: Eukaryota; Viridiplantae; Streptophyta; Magnoliopsida; Cornales; Cornaceae
Exons: 2
Source: RefSeq, a predicted model, not a curated record